This 497-nucleotide ribosomal RNA is filed under the name uncultured bacterium. RNAcentral's name for it is "partial 16S ribosomal RNA". It matches the Rfam family "Bacterial small subunit ribosomal RNA", at positions 28 to 507 of the family's 1533-position model. The record is from RNAcentral.
GAUGAACGCUGGCGGCGUGCCUAAUACAUGCAAGUCGAGCGAACAGACGAGGAGCUUGCUCCUCUGACGUUAGCGGCGGACGGGUGAGUAACACGUGGAUAACCUACCUAUAAGACUGGGAUAACUUCGGGAAACCGGAGCUAAUACCGGAUAAUAUAUUGAACCGCAUGGUUCAAUAGUGAAAGACGGUUUUGCUGUCACUUAUAGAUGGAUCCGCGCCGCAUUAGCUAGUUGGUAAGGUAACGGCUUACCAAGGCAACGAUGCGUAGCCGACCUGAGAGGGUGAUCGGCCACACUGGAACUGAGACACGGUCCAGACUCCUACGGGAGGCAGCAGUAGGGAAUCUUCCGCAAUGGGGGAGAGCCUGACGGAGCAACGCCGCGUGAGUGAUGAAGGUCUUCGGAUCGGAAAACUCUGUUAUUAGGGGAGAACAAAUGUGUAAGUAACUAUGCACGUAUUGACGGUACCUGAUCAGAAAGCCACGGCUAACUACGUG